This 276-nucleotide long non-coding RNA is filed under the name Dromaius novaehollandiae (emu). RNAcentral describes it as "lncRNA (ENSDNVG00000018315.1)". The record is from RNAcentral. Lineage: Eukaryota; Metazoa; Chordata; Aves; Casuariiformes; Dromaiidae.
GGGAAGCGAGGCUUUACCGACGCCCACAGCGGAGCCCAGCGCCGCGCUGAGAGGUGAAUUCUAGUGAAUUUUUCUCUCUACAUGAGAGGAGAAAGUGAGAUGAGAAGAGAGCCUAUGGAUCAGCAAGAGAAAAGGAGAAGGGGGAAAAAAGCAUCAUACAAACUGUAUGCAUAACCAGCCAGAUUUAUUGCUCAGAGAGACAGUACCUUUUGCUGAGUCCAGCAUAUGGCCAACAGGAGCUAUGUCAGGUAAGGAAUACAACCUUUAAUUUUUUAC